GGCCCUCUGGGUUGUAAACUUCUUUUAUAUGGGAAGAAAUGUUCUGAUUCUUCAGAGCUUGACGGUACCAUAGGAAUAAGCACCGGCUAACUCCGUGCCAGCAGCCGCGGUAAUACGGAGGGUGCAAGCGUUAUCCGGAUUCACUGGGUUUAAAGGGUGCGUAGGUGGGCAGAUAAGUCAGUGGUGAAAUCUUCCGGCUUAACCGGAAAAUUGCCGUUGAUACUAUUUGUCUUGAAUAUUGUGGAGGUAAGCGGAAUAUGUCAUGUAGCGGUGAAAUGCUUAGAUAUGACAUAGAACACCAAUUGCGAAGGCAGCUUACUAUAUAAUUAUUGACACUGAGGCACGAAAGCGUGGGUAGCGAACAGGAUUAGAUACCCUGGUAGUCCACGCCCUAAACGAUGAUUACUCGACAUACGCGAUACACUGUGUGUGUCUGAGCGAAAGCAUUAAGUAAUCCACCUGGGAAGUACGAC
RNAcentral lists this ribosomal RNA (473 nucleotides) under uncultured bacterium. RNAcentral's name for it is "bacterial SSU rRNA". It matches the Rfam family "Bacterial small subunit ribosomal RNA", at positions 413 to 886 of the family's 1533-position model. The record is from RNAcentral.